RNAcentral lists this ribosomal RNA (482 nucleotides) under uncultured bacterium. Its description in RNAcentral is "partial 16S ribosomal RNA". It matches the Rfam family "Bacterial small subunit ribosomal RNA", at positions 28 to 523 of the family's 1533-position model. The record is from RNAcentral.
GACGAACGCUGGCGGCGUGCUUAACACAUGCAAGUCGAACGAUGAAGCUGGAGCUUGCUCCGGUGGAUUAGUGGCGAACGGGUGAGUAACACGUGAGCAAUCUGCCCUUGACUCUGGGAUAACUGCGGGAAACUGUAGCUAAUACCGGAUACUUUCACUGGAAGGCAUCUUCUGGUGAAGAAAGAAUUUCGGUCAAGGAUGAGCUCGCGGCCUAUCAGCUUGUUGGUGAGGUAACGGCUCACCAAGGCGACGACGGGUAGCCGGCCUGAGAGGGUGACCGGCCACACUGGGACUGAGACACGGCCCAGACUCCUACGGGAGGCAGCAGUGGGGAAUAUUGCAAAUGGGCGCAAGCCUGAUGCAGCAACGCCGCGUGAGGGAUGAAGGCCUUCGGGUCGUAAACCUCUUUUAGCAGGGAAGAAGCGAAAGUGACGGUACCUGCAGAAAAGCACCGGCUAACUACGUGCCAGCCGCCGCAGUAA